Molecule: long non-coding RNA, 345 nt
Filed under: Citrus sinensis (sweet orange)
Lineage: Eukaryota; Viridiplantae; Streptophyta; Magnoliopsida; Sapindales; Rutaceae
Description: long non-coding RNA (CSIN_LNC005061)
Source: RNAcentral
UAUUAUCUUUGGUCUUAAGUGAUAUUACAUUAUGUUUGCUACUCUACAUGUUGAUGUCGGAGACAUAUAUGAGUUGCUUGAAGGAAUGAACAUGUCAUAAUAAGUACCAAGUGAGUUUUUGAGCCUAUUAUUUUUCUUGGAGAAUAACCCUUUUGCCCACUCUUUAUACAGCUUAGCAGUUUAUUAUUUUAUACACGAUCUCUAAAUUACUUUUGAGUUAACCCUUAAAAAAAAAAUUGUAAAAUAAAAAAAAAGAGAAAAAAGAAAAAGAAAAAAGAGUGUGUUGCUACAUUUGGAGGCCCAUCUAACUAGUAGAUAUGGAAGAUUAUUUAGAGCCCUAAAANN